This 508-nucleotide long non-coding RNA is filed under the name Dermacentor andersoni. RNAcentral describes it as "uncharacterized LOC126532443". The record is from RNAcentral. Lineage: Eukaryota; Metazoa; Arthropoda; Arachnida; Ixodida; Ixodidae.
CCGGGCGACCGUGGCGUUGCCAGCAGCCAGUGGGCCCUGCUCGCUGCGCAAGGGGUGACGGCCAAUCUCCGGCAACAACUGGGCCCAGACCACGGUUAAAAAGCAUCAGGUUAUCAUCAUGGAUCUCAUCGGUAUCAUAUACGCUCUAGGCUGGGCAAGCUUCACGUUGUGGGCCCCGCAACGCGUGCUCUGGGUGAUUGGCUUCCAAAGGAGUGGCGUGAGGUCAAGAUCCGUCGCAGCGUUCCUGCAGUCGCAUUACAAAGGCGCUAUACCCAAGAAGGGAUACUUCGCCAUGAUGCAGCAGUUCGCCGUGACAGGAAUUCCAUGGUUCGUCGAGAUCCCGGCCGCCGGCUUGGUAGCGUUCGUCAGUUACACCGUACGGACUGCGUCUUAGGGGCUUCGCUGAGCCGAUGAAGUGUAUUGACGAUCUUGGGUCCUUCCUGGCGAUACGGAACCACGACAAGCAUCAGGCAGUCGUGUACACGUUCCGCUUCUGAUAAAUUAAACU